AAUACUGGAUACGAGUAGCGGCCGCAUGGUCAGUUACUGGAAAGAUUUUUUGGUUGGGGAUGGGCUCGCGGCCUAUCAGCUUGUUGGUGAGGUAAUGGCUCACCAAGGCGUCGACGGGUAGCCGGCCUGAGAGGGUGACCGGCCACACUGGGACUGAGACACGGCCCAGACUCCUACGGGAGGCAGCAGUGGGGAAUAUUGCACAAUGGGCGGAAGCCUGAUGCAGCAACGCCGCGUGAGGGAUGACGGCCUUCGGGUUGUAAACCUCUUUUAGCAGGGAAGAAGCGAAAGUGACGGUACCUGCAGAAAAAGCGCCGGCUAACUACGUGCCAGCAGCCGCGGUAAUACGUAGGGCGCAAGCGUUAUCCGGAAUUAUUGGGCGUAAAGAGCUCGUAGGCGGUUUGUCGCGUCUGCUGUGAAAUCCCGAGGCUCAACCUCGGGCCUGCAGUGGGUACGGGCAGACUAGAGUGCGGUAGGGGAGAUUGGAAUUCCUGGUGUAGCGGUGGAAUGCGCAGAUAUCAGGAGGAACACCGAUGGCGAAGGCAGAUCUCUGGGCCGUAACUGACGCUGAGGAGCGAAAGGGUGGGGAGCAAACAGGCUUAGAUACCCUGGUAGUCCACCCCGUAAACGUUGGGAACUAGUUGUGGGGUCCAUUCCACGGAUUCCGUGACGCAGCUAACGCAUUAAGUUCCCCCCCCUGGGGAGUAC
RNAcentral lists this ribosomal RNA (708 nucleotides) under Microbacterium sp. 42HD7. Its description in RNAcentral is "bacterial SSU rRNA". It matches the Rfam family "Bacterial small subunit ribosomal RNA", at positions 165 to 883 of the family's 1533-position model. The record is from RNAcentral. Lineage: Bacteria; Bacillati; Actinomycetota; Actinomycetes; Micrococcales; Microbacteriaceae.